This is a long non-coding RNA of Rhodamnia argentea, 523 nucleotides long. RefSeq lists it as uncharacterized. The record is from RefSeq and is a predicted model, not a curated record. NCBI's taxonomy places the organism in Eukaryota, Viridiplantae, Streptophyta, Magnoliopsida, Myrtales, Myrtaceae. The transcript has 2 exons.
ACCCGUGCAAAGCCCCGCGCACGUGGGGCACCACUUCGUACGACCAGGUUACCGAGGAAGAGACGGCGGCGGCCUAUGUGUACAAGAUGGACAAGCCGUGGCUGACGGCAGACGAGGUGAGGGUGGAGAUCCGGCGGGGCCGUGCCUUGCGGUUGAUCGGAUGAGGGGACGAGACCGUCAAGGUGAAGUUGCAGAGGAACAGCGAGAUGAGGGUGAGAGAGGCCACGGCUUCUCUAAGCGAGGACGGGGUGCUCACCGUCGUGAUCCCGAAGAGGCACCGGCCUCGGAAGUGGUACGAGUACGCGGACUUGGUGUUUAUAUGGUUCGAAACGAUCCGCGUUGAGGUUUCUAGUUAAAUUGGUUUUAGCAAUGUGUCAUAUAGCAGCAUGGUUAAAGUGUUCGAACGAUUCAUCUGCUUUGUGGUAUCCGGACUUCUGUUUUCCCAAAUAAGUACUGUCUUGAAUCGGUUUAACGUGAUAAUUUCACUAUUAAUGACGUUGGUGUUUGUGAUUAUUGUGCCGUU